UACGGGAGGCAGCAGUAGGGAAUAUUGGGCAAUGGGCGAGAGCCUGACCCAGCCAUGCCGCGUGCAGGAAGAAGGCUUUCUGAGUCGUAAACUGCUUUUGACAGGGAAGAAUAACCUUUACGUGUAAAGGGAUGACGGUACCUGCAGAAUAAGCACCGGCUAACUCCGUGCCAGCAGCCGCGGUAAUACGGAGGGUGCGAGCGUUGUCCGGAUUUAUUGGGUUUAAAGGGUGCGUAGGCGGCCAUUUUAAGUCCGGGGUGAAAGCCCGUUGCUCAACAACGGAACUGCCCUGGAUACUGAGUGGCUUGAGUACAGACGAGGUUGGCGGAAUGGACCGAGUAGCGGUGAAAUGCAUAGAUACGGUCCAGAACCCCGAUUGCGAAGGCAGCUGACUAGGCUGUUACUGACGCUGAGGCACGACAGCGUGGGGAGCGAAC
This 437-nucleotide ribosomal RNA is filed under the name uncultured bacterium. Its description in RNAcentral is "bacterial SSU rRNA". It matches the Rfam family "Bacterial small subunit ribosomal RNA", at positions 340 to 773 of the family's 1533-position model. The record is from RNAcentral.